GCCAUGGGCAGCGGCAGCAGCCGGAGCGGCCGGAUCCCGAGGCGGUGGCGCAGCCCUGACAGGCGCCAGACGGACCCGGGAGAGACAGCCUCGGAGAGCGGCACGGCUGACCAGGCCCCGACAGCAACGGCGCAGGAGGAGAGCGGCCACGACCCCCGCCCCGCGACGCCCUCCGGCGGCCGGGAGGAGACCCUGCGCCUGCUGGAUCAGUUGCUGGCCGAGUCGGAGGCCUGGGGGCCCCAGGAGCAGACCCCACGAGGCCCCGCCCGGCUCGCACCCGCGGUAUCCCCAGAGAAGAAGAUUAAGGGCAACCCUGAGGACAGCUGUGCCUCUGCAGCCCCAGGCAGCAGCCCCAAGAGACCUGAGGGGCAGUCGGCCAUCUCCUAUGACUACUCCGAAGAGGAGCUCAUGGCGAGCAUUGAGCGGGAGUACUGCCGCUGAGCCGGACGAGCAGCCCUGGGCGCCACUGACCAGGCCUUGGCAGGUCUGUGAGCUGGGCUAGAGUCAAGGGCACCAGCUUGCCCUACCCAUGACCUAGUCAGAGGGGAACCACUUCUAAAUGCAGCCAUCUUUCCAAACUGAUCUUUUAAGAGUCACAGUCGGAGUCCUGCCAGUGGCCUGGCAGACCAAGAGUAGGUGCCAGGCCACAGGUGGGGAAGGGUCAACCCCUCUUGGCAUCCGUAUCACAGGCUUCUAGAAGUUUCCACCAAGGUAUGUUCUCAGUCUUCACACUAAGGUUUCUCCAGAGCGACGCAGUUUCCUCCGUGUAUGUCAGUUUCCAAGUAUACAGAUGGCAGGUAGACGCUGAGUGUGUAGGUCUAGGUGGGUCCAGAGAUUGUAUUUCUGACAGCUUCGAGGUAAUGGGAAGUUGCAAGGAGUCAGGGUCUGAGUCCCUUGGCUUCUCCCUUUCAUGUGCUGGCGGCUCCUCCAAGCCACAGUGUAGCAGCCUCCCCUGCUUGGAUGUAGGAGGAAGAGAGGGCUGGGAACCGCAGACUUCUCUGGCAUCCCAGUAUUACGUCAGCUUGCUAUCACUUCCCUCUCUGGGCCUCUCAGUUUCUCUCUUGGGGAGAAUCCUGGAGGUUCUUUGAGGUCUUUCAAGCCCUAUCAGUUUGGCAGCUCUGUCUUCCAGCCCUGCCAUCUUCCGGGGCCCAUUGUGCUUUAUCCAUCCCCGAGCGUAGAGCUGCAUUGGAGCUGAGAGAGAGGGUACACGCGGAAGGUCUUCAUGGCAACUGCGCUCCAGUUUUCCCUUCUGGCUGGCAGUCUGGCUAACGCCAUGAGCCUCCUCUCCUUCUUCCUGCUUGGGUGGAAGGUAAUCACAAUAAUGGCACCAAAAGGGACCUCAAACGUUCCCAGUCGGCAGACGGGAAAACAGAGAUCGUCUGUGGGGAGGAAGGGCGGGCCUGUGUGGUUCUGUAGGGCUUUGCUUGGUCUUGCUUGGGUGUGGAAGCACCUGACUAACUGGUAGGAAGGGUUUGUAGAUCUCUGAGUGGAGGGACAAGCCCACAUCUCUGCGCUCAUCAGGCUAGAGACCUUAAGGCUGCAUAGUGAAUUCAAAUCCAGCCUGGACUAUGCCCUGAGGGUUUGUGUCAGAAAAGGGGGUAGAGAAUCGGGAACCAACGGCAACUUUUGCUAAGGUCAAAACAGGUCUCAGCUUAUGUUGCAUCCCCGGACCAAGACAGUGGCCUUCAUCAGCAUCUUCCCUCUCCUGAGAACAGCUGUCAGCCCCUGAGACCUCAGAACACAACCUAGAGUAUCUCAGGAGCCACGGAAGAAUGGUCACUGAAACCAUCUCCGCACCCUCGGGCCUUUGCUGUCACCUGCAAAUGAUUCUAUGAACUCGUGACUUGACAAGAGUACCUUUGAGUACUCGGCUGGGAGACUUGUUCUACAGUCGGAGCCCAGAGCCAUGGAGUGUCUACCAGUCGGCUGAGGGUCUGGUCAAAACCUCCCAGAGCUAGCAACUGUAUCUUACUGGAGCCCAAAGGACUGCU
This is an RNA transcript of Mus pahari (shrew mouse), 1991 nucleotides long. It is a transcript of the gene named cystin 1, with no coding region annotated. The record is from RefSeq and is a predicted model, not a curated record. The transcript has 4 exons. NCBI's taxonomy places the organism in Eukaryota, Metazoa, Chordata, Mammalia, Rodentia, Muridae.